UGGGGAAUCUUCCGCAAUGGACGAAAGUCUGACGGAGCAACGCCGCGUGAGUGAAGAAGGUUUUCGGAUCGUAAAGCUCUGUUGUUUGAGACGAAUGUGCAGACUUUGAAUAAGGGUUUGUAAUGACGGUAUUAAACGAGAAAGCCACGGCUAACUACGUGCCAGCAGCCGCGGUAAUACGUAGGUGGCAAGCGUUGUCCGGAAUUAUUGGGCGUAAAGGGAGCGCAGGUGGGAAUGUAAGUCAGUCUUAAAAGUGCGGGGCUCAACCCCGUGAGGGGAUUGAAACUACAUUUCUUGAGUGCAGGAGAGGAAAGUGGAAUUCCUAGUGUAGCGGUGAAAUGCGUAGAGAUUAGGAGGAACACCAGUGGCGAAGGCGACUUUCUGGACUGUAACUGACACUGAGGCUCGAAAGCCAGGGGAGCGAACG
RNAcentral lists this ribosomal RNA (427 nucleotides) under uncultured prokaryote. RNAcentral describes it as "bacterial SSU rRNA". It matches the Rfam family "Bacterial small subunit ribosomal RNA", at positions 355 to 774 of the family's 1533-position model. The record is from RNAcentral.